GAUGAACGCUGGCGGUAUGCUUAACACAUGCAAGUCGAACGGACUCUUCGGAGUUAUUGGCGGACGGGUGAGUAACGCGUUAGAAGCUGGCUUUGGGUUCGGGACAACCACUGGAAACGGUGGCUAAUACCGGAUGUGCCGAGAGGUAAAAGAGAAAUUGCCUGAAGAUGAGCUCGCGUCUGAUUAGCUAGUUGGUGAGGUAAAGGCUCACCAAGGCAGCGAUCAGUAGCUGGUCUGAGAGGAUGACCCGCCACACUGGGACUGAGACACGGCCCAGACUGCUACGGGAGGCAGAAGUGGGGAAUUUCCCGCAAAGGGAGAAAGUCUGACGGAGCAAUACCGCGUGAGAGAAGAAGGCUCUUGGGUUGUAAAGCUAUUUUCUUAGGGAAGAACAAAAUGACGGUACCUAAGGAAUCAGCAUCGGCUAACUACGUG
RNAcentral lists this ribosomal RNA (435 nucleotides) under uncultured bacterium. Its description in RNAcentral is "partial 16S ribosomal RNA". It matches the Rfam family "Bacterial small subunit ribosomal RNA", at positions 28 to 507 of the family's 1533-position model. The record is from RNAcentral.